UACGUAGGGUGCAAGCGUUGUCCGGAUUUACUGGGCGUAAAGGGCGCGUAGGCGGCCACCGCAAGUCAAUUGUGAAAUCUCCGGGCUUAACUCGGAAAGGUCAACUGAUACUGCUCGGCUAGAGUGCGGAAGGGGCAACUGGAAUUCUUGGUGUAGCGGUGAAAUGCGUAGAUAUCAAGAGGAACACCUGCGGCGAAGGCGGGUUGCUAGGCCGACACUGACGCUGAGGCGCGAAAGCCAGGGGAGCAAACGGG
RNAcentral lists this ribosomal RNA (254 nucleotides) under uncultured bacterium. RNAcentral describes it as "partial 16S ribosomal RNA". It matches the Rfam family "Bacterial small subunit ribosomal RNA", at positions 524 to 776 of the family's 1533-position model. The record is from RNAcentral.